This 1337-nucleotide ribosomal RNA is filed under the name metagenome. Its description in RNAcentral is "bacterial LSU rRNA". It matches the Rfam family "Bacterial large subunit ribosomal RNA", at positions 1581 to 2925 of the family's 2925-position model. The record is from RNAcentral.
AGUAGCGAAGGUCAUGAGUUCAGGCUGCCAAGAAAAGCCUCUAGCCAGGUGAAGGUGCCCGUACCGCAAACCGACACUGGUAGUCGAGCAGAGUAUGCUAAGGCGCUCGGAAGAACUCUCGUUAAGGAACUCGGCAAAAUGACCCCGUAACUUCGGGAGAAGGGGUGCCUCGGUAGGGUGAAUAGCCCGAGGGGGCCGCAGUGAAAAGGCCCAAGCGACUGUUUAGCAAAAACACAGGUCUGUGCGAAGCCGUAAGGCGAAGUAUACGGGCUGACGCCUGCCCGGUGCUGGAAGGUUAAGGGGAGUGGUUAGCCGCAAGGCGAAGCUAUGAACCGAAGCCCCAGUAAACGGCGGCCGUAACGAUAACGGUCCUAAGGUAGCGAAAUUCCUUGUCAGGUAAAUUCUGACCCGCACGAAUGGCGUAACGACUUGGGCGCUGUCUCAACGAGAGAUCCGGUGAAAUUUUAAUACCUGUGAAGAUGCAGGUUACCCGCGACAAGACGAAAGACCCCAUGGAGCUUUACUGCAGCUUGAUAUUGGACUUUGGUACGAUCUGUACAGGAUAGGUGGGAGCCUUGGAAACCGGAGCGCCAGCUUCGGUGGAGGCAUCGUUGGGAUACCACCCUGAUCGUAUCGGAGUUCUAACCUGGUACCGUAAUCCGGUACAGGGACCGUGUCAGGUGGGCAGUUUGACUGGGGCGGUCGCCUCCUAAAAUGUAACGGAGGCGCCCAAAGGUUCCCUCAGAAUGGUUGGAAAUCAUUCGUAGCGUGUAAAGGCAUAAGGGAGCUUGACUGCGAGACCUACAAGUCGAGCAGGGACGAAAGUCGGGCUUAGUGAUCCGGUGGUACCGAAUGGAAGGGCCAUCGCUCAACGGAUAAAAGCUACCCUGGGGAUAACAGGCUUAUCUCCCCCAAGAGUCCACAUCGACGGGGAGGUUUGGCACCUCGAUGUCGGCUCAUCGCAUCCUGGGGCUGAAGUAGGUCCCAAGGGUUGGGCUGUUCGCCCAUUAAAGCGGUACGCGAGCUGGGUUCAGAACGUCGUGAGACAGUUCGGUCCCUAUCUGUCGUGGGCGUAGGAAAUUUGCGAGGAGCUGUCCUUAGUACGAGAGGACCGGGAUGGACGCACCGCUGGUGUACCAGUUGUUCCGCCAGGAGCAUCGCUGGGUAGCCAAGUGCGGACGGGAUAAGCGCUGAAAGCAUCUAAGCGUGAAGCCCCCCUCAAGAUGAGAUUUCCCAGUAUGUAAGACCCCUUGAAGACGACGAGGUUGAUAGGUUCGAGGUGGAAGCGCAGCAAUGUGUGGAGCUGACGAAUACUAAUCGGUCGAGGGCUUAUCCAA